Molecule: long non-coding RNA, 592 nt
Filed under: Homo sapiens (human)
Lineage: Eukaryota; Metazoa; Chordata; Mammalia; Primates; Hominidae
Description: HSALNT0102340
Source: RNAcentral
CAGAGUUCUCUCUUUGUAGUGACGACUAGGCAGUUCUGCCAGUGAGAGUGGGGCCACAGGCCUGGGAUUUGAACAGGAAGUGAGGCCAAUCCUAAAUGAAAUCAAACUGUGAAUAAAGGAGGAUUAAAAUAAAAAUUGACAGCAUAGUUCACAGAGCCAGUGCCGUGGUGCAGCUGCCUGGAACUCGCUGCCAUCAUACGCUUUGGACAGGAGACAUGAAACACUGCCUGGAUAGCUCCUGGCUGAGGAGGUUGUGAGAAGCGCAUUUGUCUGCACAUUGUGGUGCCUGUGACACCGGGAAGAGAUGGAGGUCACAGGGGGAAGAAAAACCCUGGAUUUCCAGAACACUGCUACCCCUCUCACCAAUUGGUCGCCAGUAUGGAGACUGAUUUCAUGAAGGUCCAGCGUCUGCUGCGGGCAGUGACCUCGGUCCCUUUCUGGGUCAAACGGCAGAGUGAAGCUGCAGCCAAAUUGAGGGUAAAUAACAGUCACAGCAGGAAGUAGGGAGAAUCCUGUACAGCUGAAACGAUCCUUGAGGAUCCCUGCCAUGACCUUGACAAAAAAAGCAAAAAGAAGACCCAGCAGAGCCAAG